AGAUGGGAGCUUGCUCCCUGAUGUUAGCGGCGGACGGGUGAGUAACACGUGGGUAACCUGCCUGUAAGACUGGGAUAACUCCGGGAAACGGGGCUAAUACCGGAUGCUUGUUUGAACCGCAUGGUUCAAACAUAAAAGGUGGCUUCGGCUACCACUUACAGAUGGACCCGCGGCGCAUUAGCUAGUUGGUGAGGUAAUGGCUCACCAAGGCGACGAUGCGUAGCCGACCUGAGAGGGUGAUCGGCCACACUGGGACUGAGACACGGCCCAGACUCCUACGGGAGGCAGCAGUAGGGAAUCUUCCGCAAUGGACGAAAGUCUGACGGAGCAACGCCGCGUGAGUGAUGAAGGUUUUCGGAUCGUAAAGCUCUGUUGUUAGGGAAGAACAAGUACCGUUCGAAUAGGGCGGUACCUUGACGGUACCUAACCAGAAAGCCACGGCUAACUACGUGCCAGCAGCCGCGGUAAUACGUAGGUGGCAAGCGUUGUCCGGAAUUAUUGGGCGUAAAGGGCUCGCAGGCGGUUUCUUAAGUCUGAUGUGAAAGCCCCCGGCUCAACCGGGGAGGGUCAUUGGAAACUGGGGAACUUGAGUGCAGAAGAGGAGAGUGGAAUUCCACGUGUAGCGGUGAAAUGCGUAGAGAUGUGGAGGAACACCAGUGGCGAAGGCGACUCUCUGGUCUGUAACUGACGCUGAGGAGCGAAAGCGUGGGGAGCGAACAGGAUUAGAUAC
RNAcentral lists this ribosomal RNA (730 nucleotides) under Bacillus subtilis subsp. subtilis. Its description in RNAcentral is "bacterial SSU rRNA". It matches the Rfam family "Bacterial small subunit ribosomal RNA", at positions 70 to 785 of the family's 1533-position model. Lineage: Bacteria; Bacillati; Bacillota; Bacilli; Caryophanales; Bacillaceae. The record is from RNAcentral.